This 497-nucleotide ribosomal RNA is filed under the name uncultured bacterium. RNAcentral describes it as "partial 16S ribosomal RNA". It matches the Rfam family "Bacterial small subunit ribosomal RNA", at positions 28 to 507 of the family's 1533-position model. The record is from RNAcentral.
GAUGAACGCUGGCGGCGUGCCUAAUACAUGCAAGUCGAACGAACGGACACUAAGCUUUCUUCUCUGAUGUUAGCGGCGGACGGGUGGGUAACACAUACGUAACUUACCUAUAUCACUGUGAUACCUUCGGGAAACCGGCGCUAAUACCGGCUAAUAUUUUCAUCCGCAUGGUUCAAACGUGAAAGACGGUCUUGCUGUCACUUAUCGAUGGAUCCGCGCUGCAUUAGCUAGUUGGUAAGGUAACGGCCUACCAAGGCAACGAUGCAUAGCCGACCUGAGAGGGUGAUCGGCCACACUGGGACUGAGACACGGUCCAGACUCCUACGGGAGGCAGCAGUAGGGAAUCUUCCGCAAUGGGCGAAAGCCUGACGGAGCAACGCCGCGUGAGUGAAGAAGGUCUUCGGAUCGUAAAACUCUGUUAUUAGGGAAGAACAGAUGUGUAAGUAACUGUGCAGAGCGUGACGGUACCUAAUCAGAAAGCCACGGCUAACUACGUG